GCUCUCGUAGCUCAGUUGGU
Molecule: non-coding RNA, 20 nt
Filed under: Arabidopsis thaliana (thale cress)
Lineage: Eukaryota; Viridiplantae; Streptophyta; Magnoliopsida; Brassicales; Brassicaceae
Source: RNAcentral